Molecule: non-coding RNA, 45 nt
Organism: Schistosoma haematobium
Lineage: Eukaryota; Metazoa; Platyhelminthes; Trematoda; Strigeidida; Schistosomatidae
Source: Rfam
AUCCAACUGAUGAGUCCCAAAUGAAGUAAAACGUGCGUCUUGGAU